This 225-nucleotide ribosomal RNA is filed under the name Triticum aestivum (bread wheat). RNAcentral's name for it is "partial small subunit ribosomal RNA". Lineage: Eukaryota; Viridiplantae; Streptophyta; Magnoliopsida; Poales; Poaceae. The record is from RNAcentral.
AUGCUAGUGUGGAAUGUAAGGGGGUUAAACAACCCGACACGGAGAACGGUGGUGCGGAAGCUAGUGGGACAGCACAAUGUAUCCUUGUUAUGUAUCCAAGAAUCAAAAUUAGCAGUGGUGGAUCUAGGGAUUGUGAGAGAAUGCGGGGGUGCAGAAUUCAUUUCCUUCGCGUAAGCCCCAGCAAGCGGCACAAGGGGAGGCAUCAUUAUGGCUUGGAAGAACUAA